This 372-nucleotide unclassified non-coding RNA is filed under the name uncultured bacterium. RNAcentral describes it as "contains 16S-23S intergenic spacer region". The record is from RNAcentral.
UCCUCCUUACAGAGGCGGUUUUGUCCGAGUUCCCGACAUUACUCGCUGGCAACAGACAAUGAGGGUUGCGCUCGUUGCGGGACUUAACCCAACAUCUCACGACACGAGCUGACGACAGCCAUGCACCACCUGUGCUACACCCUCGAAGGCGACUGCUUUUCGGCAGCUUGCAGUAGCAUGUCAAGCCCUGGUAAGGUUCUUCGCGUUGCAUCGAAUUAAGCCACAUGCUCCACCGCUUGUGCGGGCCCCCGCCAAUUCCUUUGAGUUUCAACCUUGCGGCCGUAGUCCCCAGGCGGUUCACUUAAUGCGUUAGCUGCGGCACCGAGGGUUACCCCCCGACACCUAGUGAACAUCGUUUAGGGCCGAGACUAC